RNAcentral lists this unclassified non-coding RNA (285 nucleotides) under Hevea brasiliensis (rubber tree). Lineage: Eukaryota; Viridiplantae; Streptophyta; Magnoliopsida; Malpighiales; Euphorbiaceae. The record is from RNAcentral.
CGCCUCCCCACUCCCCGUCUCCUCCUCCCUCACGCAGCUCGUCGAGAUGGCGUCCGAGGCGGCCAAGGUGGUGGUGCCGGAGUCCGUGCUCCGCAAGAGGAAGCGGGAGGAGGUGUGGGCGGCCGCGAGCAAGGAGAAGGCCGUCGCCGAGAAGAAGAAGUCCAUCGAGAGCCGCAAGCUCAUCUUCUCCCGCGCCAAGCAGUACGCCGAGGAGUACGAGGCCCAGGAGAAGGAGCUGGUGCAACUUAAGCGUGAGGCUCGGAUGAAGGGUGGUUUCUAUGUCAG